GGCAUGCAAAUGACAAAAAUGAUGCAAAAUUUGCUCAUAAAAUUAAAAAUAACCGACUUCCUGUUGGGUUUCGGAUAUUGCUCCAAGAGUCUUUUUUGUAGGUACUGAUGCUUUACAUAUGUGUGCCAAUUUUCGUGCAUGUACGUGAAACACAGCUCGAGGGCUGUUGAUUUUUUUACGGUAGGUGGCGCUGUCGAGCCAUUUUGCCACACCCUCUUCUGAAACCUAUAUCAGAUGUAAAUUUUCACCAGGUAUGACGCGUGUGCAAAGUUUCAGGACUUUUCGAGCAUGUUUAGGCCCUCAAAAAUGCGAUUCAUUUUGGAGAAGAAGAAGAAGAAGAAGAAGAAGAAGAAGAAUAAUAAUAAUUAAAGCUGCAAGCAGCGAUGAACGGGCCCUCGCACCCGGGCUCACCGCCAGCGGGUGGCUUUUGUAAAACAGCGAACGGCGAGAUAUAUGCGUUUAAUGUGGUAAAUAUAAGAGAAAUAUGUCAAAGUCAUUUAUAUGUGCCAAUCUUCCUGCUGCCAGCUGGUGGCGCUAUGACCAUAACUGGAUUUUGGCAUGUA
Long non-coding RNA from Cyprinus carpio carpio, 563 nucleotides. The record is from Ensembl. Lineage: Eukaryota; Metazoa; Chordata; Actinopteri; Cypriniformes; Cyprinidae.